AGCGAACGCUGGCGGCAGGCCUAACACAUGCAAGUCGAACGGACUCUUCGGAGUUAGUGGCGGACGGGUGAGUAACACGUGGGAACGUGCCUUUUGGUUCGGAAUAACUCAGGGAAACUUGUGCUAAUACCGAAUGUGCCCUUCGGGGGAAAGAUUUAUCGCCAUUAGAGCGGCCCGCGUCUGAUUAGCUAGUUGGUGAGGUAACGGCUCACCAAGGCGACGAUCAGUAGCUGGUCUGAGAGGAUGACCAGCCACACUGGGACUGAGACACGGCCCAGACUCCUACGGGAGGCAGCAGUGGGGAAUCUUGCGCAAUGGGCGAAAGCCUGACGCAGCCAUGCCGCGUGAAUGAUGAAGGUCUUAGGAUUGUAAAAUUCUUUCACCGGGGACGAUAAUGACGGUACCCGGAGAAGAAGCCCCGGCUAACUUCGUG
This 433-nucleotide ribosomal RNA is filed under the name uncultured bacterium. RNAcentral describes it as "partial 16S ribosomal RNA". It matches the Rfam family "Bacterial small subunit ribosomal RNA", at positions 29 to 507 of the family's 1533-position model. The record is from RNAcentral.